AUUUUCUGUUAUGUAUGAGAGCAAAUUGUUUUCAUGAAGGCUAGUUUCUGAGUAUCACUCUGUACACUGGCUAUAAAACAUGAGUUCAAGCUUUGACUCUUUUGUGUUUUGGGUUUUUAUGGUCUAGCAGAACAGGAUCACAGAGGUCCAACUUCCUGGGCAGGUCAUGUUGGUUUUGGAGUUGGAUACAACUCUCUCUAUGACCUGUCUAUCCCUGGAGCCCACGGGGGAACUCAGAGCUAAUGCACACUGUUCUCUACUUAAGGAAGGACAAAUGAGCUGUCACCAGGUUUCUUCUGAGGUUUGGAAUGCUCAGGUUGCCAUUAAGGAACUGGAUGCGGGUAAGCUAGGUAACUUUUUUGAUUUUGAGUUUCCCCAUCUAUUUUAUACAAUAAAAAGUGGAACUAAAUCAUCUUUGAGGCCUAUUCUAUUAUGAUUUCUAUUAUUAUUUAUGAACCUGUGCUUUCAAUAUGGCUUUUAUGCAAACUGGCAUUGAACCCUACAAGCUUAAACCUGACAGAUGGAUAUGUGUUUGUAUCAAAGCCAUAGAGCCCAGCUUUAACUGACAAAAUCUGUUUUCAGGCACAUGAAUGUGACCCCCAUUUUCUAACCAUUUGUCUUAUUUGGGUAGAGUAGUGGCUCCUCAA
RNAcentral lists this long non-coding RNA (647 nucleotides) under Chinchilla lanigera (long-tailed chinchilla). RNAcentral's name for it is "lncRNA (ENSCLAG00000024662.1)". The record is from RNAcentral. Lineage: Eukaryota; Metazoa; Chordata; Mammalia; Rodentia; Chinchillidae.